GAUGAAGAACGUAGCGAAAUGCGAUAAGUAAUGUGAAUUGCAGAAUUCAGUGAAUCAUCGAAUCUUUGAACGCACAUUGCGCCCCUUGGUAUUCCGAGGGGCAUGCCUGUUCGAGCGUCAUUAUAACCCUCAAGCUCAGCUUGGUGUUGGGGCCUGCUGCAGUGGCAGCCCUUAAAAUCAGUGGCGGCGCCAUCUGGCUCUAAGCGUAGUAAUUCUUCUCGCUAUGGAGUCCUGGUGGAUGCUUGCCAUCAACCCCCAAUUUUUCUAAGGUUGACCUCGGAUCAGGUAGGGAUACCCGCUGAACUUAAGCAUAUCAAUAAGCGGAGGA
RNAcentral lists this unclassified non-coding RNA (328 nucleotides) under soil metagenome. Its description in RNAcentral is "partial contains 5.8S ribosomal RNA, internal transcribed spacer 2, and large subunit ribosomal RNA". The stretch from base 1 to 120 matches the Rfam family "5.8S ribosomal RNA", at positions 35 to 154 of the family's 154-position model. The record is from RNAcentral.